This 74-nucleotide transfer RNA is filed under the name Bacillus anthracis (anthrax bacterium). Its description in RNAcentral is "tRNA-Asp". It matches the Rfam family "tRNA". From Rfam's summary of the family: Transfer RNA (tRNA) molecules are approximately 80 nucleotides in length. Their secondary structure includes four short double-helical elements and three loops (D, anti-codon, and T loops). RNAcentral also lists the same sequence under 2 other names. Lineage: Bacteria; Bacillati; Bacillota; Bacilli; Caryophanales; Bacillaceae. The record is from RNAcentral.
GGGGAUAUGGUGAAGAGGUAUCACGUAACACUGUCUAUGUUAAAUCAGGGGUUCAAUUCCCCUUAUCCUCGCCA